UUGCAACCAGUUAAGCCGACUGUGCUCUUUUCCCCAUGGGGGCCCAGUGCGCAGUGGCUGCAAACAGCAGCCUCCUUGGUAGUGUAUGCAGCCUGUUGCCUGUAUGGGUUGCCCUAAGGGACCUUGGAGACAGCA
This is a small nucleolar RNA of Physeter macrocephalus (sperm whale), 135 nucleotides long. Its record names the gene SNORA70. It matches the Rfam family "Small nucleolar RNA SNORA70". From Rfam's summary of the family: snoRNA U70 seems to be exclusive to mammals and is a member of the H/ACA class of snoRNA which contain H (ANANNA) and ACA box motifs. NCBI's taxonomy places the organism in Eukaryota, Metazoa, Chordata, Mammalia, Artiodactyla, Physeteridae. The record is from Ensembl.